GUGCCAGCAGCCGCGGUAACACGGGGGGAGCAAGCGUUGUUCGGAAUUACUGGGCGUAAAGGGCGUGUAGGCGGUCUGGUAAGUGGGAUGUGAAAUGCCCCGGCUCACCCGGGGACCUGCAUCCCAAACUACCUGGCUUGAGUAUGGGAGAGGAUGAGGGAAUUCCUGGUGUAGCGGUGAAAUGCGUAGAUAUCAGGAGGAACACCGGUGGCGAAAGCGCUCAUCUGGCCCAAUACUGACGCUGAGGCGCGAAAGCUAGGGGAGCAAACGGGAUUAGAUACCCCCGUAGUCC
RNAcentral lists this ribosomal RNA (292 nucleotides) under uncultured bacterium. RNAcentral's name for it is "partial 16S ribosomal RNA". It matches the Rfam family "Bacterial small subunit ribosomal RNA", at positions 505 to 796 of the family's 1533-position model. The record is from RNAcentral.